Molecule: transfer RNA, 86 nt
Filed under: Dyella thiooxydans
Lineage: Bacteria; Pseudomonadati; Pseudomonadota; Gammaproteobacteria; Lysobacterales; Rhodanobacteraceae
Description: tRNA-Leu
Rfam family: tRNA
About the family: Transfer RNA (tRNA) molecules are approximately 80 nucleotides in length.
Source: RNAcentral
GCGAAAGUGGCGGAACUGGUAGACGCACCAGAUUUAGGUUCUGGCGGGUAAUCCCCGUGCGGGUUCGAGUCCCGCCUUUCGCACCA